GACGAACGCUGGCGGCGUGCUUAACACAUGCAAGUCGAGCGGUAAGGCCCUUUCGGGGGUACACGAGCGGCGAACGGGUGAGUAACACGUGGGUGACCUGCCCUCAGCUCUGGGAUAAGCCUGGGAAACCGGGUCUAAUACUGGAUAUGACUCCAUGACGCAUGUUGUGGGGUGGAAAGCCUUGUGCGGCUGAGGAUGGGCCCGCGGCCUAUCAGCUUGUUGGUGGGGUGANGGCCUACCAAGGCGACGACGGGUCGCCGGCCUGAGAGGGCGACCGGCCACACUGGGACUGAGACACGGCCCAGACUCCUACGGGAGGCAGCAGUGGGGAAUCUUGCGCAAUGGGCGAAAGCCUGACGCAGCGACGCCGCGUGAGGGAUGACGG
RNAcentral lists this ribosomal RNA (385 nucleotides) under uncultured bacterium. RNAcentral's name for it is "bacterial SSU rRNA". It matches the Rfam family "Bacterial small subunit ribosomal RNA", at positions 28 to 414 of the family's 1533-position model. The record is from RNAcentral.